Molecule: ribosomal RNA, 506 nt
Filed under: uncultured Desulfobulbus sp.
Lineage: Bacteria; Pseudomonadati; Thermodesulfobacteriota; Desulfobulbia; Desulfobulbales; Desulfobulbaceae
Description: bacterial SSU rRNA
Rfam family: Bacterial small subunit ribosomal RNA
Source: RNAcentral
CCUUGCCAGCCCGCUCAGAAACUCAAAGGAAUUGACGGGGCCGCACAAGCGUGGAGUAUGUGGUUUAAUUCGAUGCAACGCGAAGAACCUUACCUGGUCUUGACAUCCCGGAGACCCUUAGGAAACUAGGGGGUGCUUCCAUCUGGAAGAAUCUGGAGACAGGUGCUGCAUGGCUGUCGUCAGCUCGUGUCGUGAGAUGUUGGGUUAAGUCCCGCAACGAGCGCAACCCUUGCCUUUAGUUGCCAGCAGUUCGGCUGGGCACUCUAAAGGGACUGCCGGUGUUAAACCGGAGGAAGGUGGGGAUGACGUCAAGUCCUCAUGGCCUUUAUGACCAGGGCUACACACGUACUACAAUGGCCGAUACAAAGGGCAGCGACACUGCGAGGUGAAGCCAAUCCCGUAAAAUCGGUCUCAGUCCGGAUUGGAGUCUGCAACUCGACUCCAUGAAGUUGGAAUCGCUAGUAAUCGUGGAUCAGCAUGCCACGGUGAAUACGUUCCCGGGCCUU